This 401-nucleotide ribosomal RNA is filed under the name uncultured bacterium. RNAcentral describes it as "bacterial SSU rRNA". It matches the Rfam family "Bacterial small subunit ribosomal RNA", at positions 356 to 774 of the family's 1533-position model. The record is from RNAcentral.
GGGGAAUUUUGGACAAUGGGCGCAAGCCUGAUCCAGCCAUGCCGCGUGAGUGAAGAAGGCCUUAGGGUUGUAAAGCUCUUUUGGCAGGGACGAUAAUGACGGUACCUGCAGAAUAAGCCCCGGCAAACUUCGUGCCAGCAGCCGCGGUAAUACGAAGGGGGCUAGCGUUGUUCGGAUUUACUGGGCGUAAAGCGCACGUAGGCGGAUUGUUAAGUCAGGGGUGAAAUCCCGGAGCUCAACUCCGGAACUGCCUUUGAUACUGGCAAUCUUGAGGCUGGAAGAGGUUGGUAGAAUUCCCAGUGUAGAGGUGAAAUUCGUAGAUAUUGGGAAGAAUACCAGUGGCGAAGGCGGCCAACUGGUCCAGAUCUGACGCUGAGGUGCGAAAGCGUGGGGAGCAAACA